RNAcentral lists this ribosomal RNA (305 nucleotides) under uncultured bacterium. Its description in RNAcentral is "bacterial SSU rRNA". It matches the Rfam family "Bacterial small subunit ribosomal RNA", at positions 335 to 656 of the family's 1533-position model. The record is from RNAcentral.
UGCCUACGGGGGGCAGCAGUGGGGAAUAUUGCACAAUGGGCGAAAGCCUGAUGCAGCAACGCCGCGUGAAGGAAGAAGGCCUUCGGGUCGUAAACUUCUGUCCUUGGGGAAGAAGAACUGACGGUACCCAAGGAGGAAGCCCCGGCUAACUACGUGCCAGCAGCCGCGGUAAUACGUAUGGGGCAAGCGUUAUCCGGAUUUACUGGGUGUAAAGGGAGCGUAGGCGGCAGGGCAAGCCUGAUGUGAAAGCCCGGGGCUCAACCCCGGGACUGCAUUGGGAACUGCCCCGCUCGAGUGCCGGAGGG